CGGGAAAAAGAACCAACAGGGAUUGCCCUAGUAACGGCGAGUGAAGCGGCAACAGCUCAAAUUUGAAAUCUGGCUCUUUCAGAGUCCGAGUUGUAAUUUGCAGAGGGUGCUUUGGUGGUAGUUGCGGUCUAAGUUCUUUGGAACAGGACGUCACAGAGGGUGAGAAUCCCGUAUGUGGUCGCUACUUAUCACCGUGUAAAGCCCCUUCGACGAGUCGAGUUGUUUGGGAAUGCAGCUCUAAAUGGGAGGUAAAUUUCUUCUAAAGCUAAAUACUGGCCAGAGACCGAUAGCGCACAAGUAGAGUGAUCGAAAGAUGAAAAGCACUUUGGAAAGAGAGUCAAAUAGCACGUGAAAUUGUUGAAAGGGAAGCGCUUGCAGCCAGACUUGCCUGUAGUUGCUUACCUAGACUUUUGUCUGGGGUACUCUUCUGCAGGCAGGCCAGCAUCAGUUUGGGCGGUUGGAUAAAGGUCUCUGUCACGUACCUCCUUUCGGGGAGGCCUUAUAGGGGAGACGUCAUACAACCAGCCUGGACUGAGGUCCGCGCAUCUGCUAGGAUGCUGGCGUAAUGGCUGUAAGCGGCCCGUCUUGAAACACGGACCAAGGAGUCUAACAUCUAUGCGAGUGUUUGGGUGUCAAGCCCAUACGCGUAAUGAAAGUGAACGGAGGUGGGAACCUUAGGGUGCACCAUCGACCGAUCCUGAUGUCUUCGGAUGGAUUUGAGUAAGAGCAUGGCUGUUGGGACCCGAAAGAUGGUGAACUAUGCUUGAAUAGGGUGAAGCCAGAGGAAACUCUGGUGGAGGCUCGCAGCGGUUCUGACGUGCAAAUCGAUCGUCAAAUUUGGGCAUAGGGGCGAAAGACUAAUC
Molecule: ribosomal RNA, 863 nt
Filed under: Setophoma terrestris
Lineage: Eukaryota; Fungi; Ascomycota; Dothideomycetes; Pleosporales; Phaeosphaeriaceae
Description: eukaryotic LSU rRNA
Rfam family: Eukaryotic large subunit ribosomal RNA
Source: RNAcentral